GGCUCUGUAGUGUAGCGGUUAUCACAGGAGAUUCUGAUGUUACACGAAUUCUCUUAACCCAGGUUCGAUUCCUGGCAGGGCCU
Non-coding RNA from Pleurotus ostreatoroseus, 83 nucleotides. Lineage: Eukaryota; Fungi; Basidiomycota; Agaricomycetes; Agaricales; Pleurotaceae. The record is from the annotation of a GenBank genome assembly.